AUCUUGGGAGGGGGGCCGAGGCCGCGGCCUUCGCUUCUUGGGCCGCUGGGGCAGGGCUGGUCAUGGAGAGACGGAUCUGAGGGAAUGGGGUUGUUCCAUCGCACGGCAAGCCCUAGGGGAAAAAGAUAGCCAUUUCCAACAGAAGUCACCUUCCUGCCGCAAGCAAAGGGAUGCUUUUCCACUGGGGAGUCUUCAGUCUUUGCUGGUGCAGGGCCCAGAAGGUGGAAGAAGAAAGGACAGCUGGAGGUGGUUGUGUUUUGUGGGCUCCCAAGGCAGCAUCUCCUUCUGUCAUUGCAUGAGACAGAUUGUUCCCUGGCUGGACCACCGGUCCCACUCCAGUAUCUUGGCAACGCUCCAUUGAUCCGGUAGAUGUUACCGGUGAAUAUUUUUUGAAGCGCCCUGAAAUGCCUGGGAUUAAACAGCUAGUGUAGGGUAGGGUUUUGCCACCACCAAAACUCUUCAGCCAGAUAUUAAUGAGUUACAUUUGUGUUAAGCCAGGGGACCAAGUGAGAGUCUCCAACUGAUUGCAUGUGGUUGCACAAGGACUAGAGGGUGAUCAGCCUUGGUACCUGAUAAAGAAGAUGACCAUAAAUGCGAUGCCACUUCUUGCCCUUGUAAGCUGUGUCGAAAGCAGUGUGUUUUCAAUGGCAGAUGAAUGUCGCUGGAUGUCCAGCUUUUUCCAUCUGCUCUCUAUCAGGGACUUGACAUUGUAACACAGCUGUGCCUAUGAAAUAAGUAUGAAAAGAUAAAGCUGACUGGAGCACUCCUAAGGUUCAUUUAAAACAACCUGAGUAAAAUUACUUCAGAUUCAAAGCGA
Molecule: long non-coding RNA, 817 nt
Organism: Cyanistes caeruleus (blue tit)
Lineage: Eukaryota; Metazoa; Chordata; Aves; Passeriformes; Paridae
Source: RefSeq, a predicted model, not a curated record